Molecule: ribosomal RNA, 1346 nt
Filed under: uncultured bacterium
Lineage: Bacteria
Description: bacterial SSU rRNA
Rfam family: Bacterial small subunit ribosomal RNA
Source: RNAcentral
GACGAACUUUGGCGGCGUGCUUAACACAUGCAAGUCGAACGGAAAGGCCCUGCUUUUGUGGGGUGCUCGAGUGGCGAACGGGUGAGUAACACGUGAGUAACCUGCCCUUGACUUUGGGAUAACUUCAGGAAACUGGGGCUAAUACCGGAUAGGAGCUCCUGCUGCAUGGUGGGGGUUGGAAAGUUUCGGCGGUUGGGGAUGGACUCGCGGCUUAUCAGCUUGUUGGUGGGGUAGUGGCUUACCAAGGCUUUGACGGGUAGCCGGCCUGAGAGGGUGACCGGCCACAUUGGGACUGAGAUACGGCCCAGACUCCUACGGGAGGCAGCAGUGGGGAAUAUUGCACAAUGGGCGGAAGCCUGAUGCAGCAACGCCGCGUGCGGGAUGACGGCCUUCGGGUUGUAAACCGCUUUCGCCUGUGACGAAGCGUGAGUGACGGUAAUGGGUAAAGAAGCACCGGCUAACUACGUGCCAGCAGCCGCGGUGAUACGUAGGGUGCGAGCGUUGUCCGGAUUUAUUGGGCGUAAAGGGCUCGUAGGUGGUUGAUCGCGUCGGAAGUGUAAUCUUGGGGCUUAACCCUGAGCGUGCUUUCGAUACGGGUUGACUUGAGGAAGGUAGGGGAGAAUGGAAUUCCUGGUGGAGCGGUGGAAUGCGCAGAUAUCAGGAGGAACACCAGUGGCGAAGGCGGUUCUCUGGGCCUUUCCUGACGCUGAGGAGCGAAAGCGUGGGGAGCGAACAGGCUUAGGUACCCUGGUAGUCCACGCUGUAAACGGUGGGUACUAGGUGUGGGGUCCAUUCCACGGGUUCCGUGCCGUAGCUAACGCUUUAAGUACCCCGCCUGGGGAGUACGGCCGCAAGGCUAAAACUCAAAGGAAUUGACGGGGCCCCGCACAAGCGGCGGAGCAUGCGGAUUAAUUCGAUGCAACGCGUAGAACCUUACCUGGGUUUGACAUGGAUCGGGAGUGCUCAGAGAUGGGUGUGCCUCUUUUGGGGUCGGUUCACAGGUGGUGCAUGCCUGUCGUCAGCUCGUGUCGUGAGAUGUUGGGUUAAGUCCCGCAACGAGCGCAACCCUUGUUCACUGUUGCCAGCACGUUAUGGUGGGGACUCAGUGGAGACCGCCGGGGUCAACUCGGAGGAAGGUGGGGAUGACGUCAAGUCCUCAUGCCCCUUAUGUCCAGGGCUUCACGCAUGCUACAAUGGCUGGUACAGAGAGUGGCGAGCCUGUGAGGGUGAGCGAAUCUCGGAAAGCCGGUCUCAGUUCGGAUUGGGGUCUGCAACUCGACCUCAUGAAGUCGGAGUCGCUAGUAAUCGCAAAUCAGCAACGCUGCGGUGAAUACGUUCCCGGGGCU